AAGGGUCAAGCGUAAGAAUAGGCUUCAACGUGCCUCUGUUGCGCUUCUGGAGCCUAAAAUAUAGGAGAGGGGUGUUACGGGCGUCACACCAUGUGUUACGCUCGUAACACAAGGUAGUAAGGCGUGACGCUCGUCACAGCUUGUGUGGCGAUCGUCAAAACUUCAGCGCUCCUGGCUUUGUGGGCUGGGCUUUUGUGGAUUUUUGCUUUUCAUUAUCUUUUUG
RNAcentral lists this long non-coding RNA (223 nucleotides) under Lathyrus oleraceus (garden pea). Its description in RNAcentral is "Pisum sativum (pea) long non-coding RNA (PSAT_LNC030702)". The record is from RNAcentral. Lineage: Eukaryota; Viridiplantae; Streptophyta; Magnoliopsida; Fabales; Fabaceae.